GUAGGUGGCAAGCGUUGUCCGGAAUUAUUGGGCGUAAAGCGCGCGCAGGCGGUUCUUUAAGUCUGAUGUGAAAGCCCACGGCUCAACCGUGGAGGGUCAUUGGAAACUGGAGAACUUGAGUACAGAAGAGGAAAGCGGAAUUCCACGUGUAGCGGUGAAAUGCGUAGAGAUGUGGAGGAACACCAGUGGCGAAGGCGGCUUUCUGGUCUGUAACUGACGCUGAGGCGCGAAAGCGUGGGGGAGCAAACAGGAUUGGAUACCCUGGUAGUCCACGCCGUAAACGAUGAGUGCUAAGUGUUAGGGGGUUUCCGCCCCUUAGUGCUGCAGCUAACGCAUUAAGCACUCCGCCUGGGAGUACGGCCGCAAGGCUG
RNAcentral lists this ribosomal RNA (371 nucleotides) under uncultured organism. RNAcentral's name for it is "partial 16S ribosomal RNA". It matches the Rfam family "Bacterial small subunit ribosomal RNA", at positions 527 to 896 of the family's 1533-position model. The record is from RNAcentral.